ACCAUAUUCAUACAUAUAUUAGUACAUGCAUACGUCCCGUACCAUAUUGAUUAUACACCUAAACCACUAUCUCCUAUCCUGACUUGGCUGCCCUACGACAACGGUCGUCUGAGAUCGUUGUCGAACUUGACCCCGACAAAUCGAACAGCCUAGCACAUCGUAUCAAACAGUUUGCAACCACCUCCUUACACCGAGCCUCCUGACCACUGUUCAACUCUGACCUCAACCAACCAAAAUAGGCCACGUGUCCUGACAUUCGACACCACCUUCCCAUAUCUGCCUGUGAAUUGUACUAUAGUACCCAGUAUGUCAGCCUUGGUCGGUAAGUUACUCCACUAUAAAAGGUCCUCUCCUCCUAGACCUAUUGCUCUCUCAUUUUCUUCAACCCUCAACUCAUUCACAGCUCUCUUGCAUCCUACAUCUACCAUUUCUAUACCAAUAUUUACACUUUACAAUUCUUAUAUCUUUGUUUUGACCAACCUGAUUCCGAUUAACUGACUUGAGCGUCGGGGGUUCUUUAACAGGUACCCCACAGGUGCCCAAGUUCUUUGACCUCAUCCUUGCUUUGUUUCACAGGAUCCUGCUAUAAAAGGUCUCUGUAUAAAGACGUUGACUAUUCAACAAUUGUAGAUUCGGGUAUCUACAUCCCCUGAUUUUAAUUUCAUUUAAUUAACGGGAGCUUCUUUUGCUUCUUUCUUUCUUCUUCAGCUUGGUGUCAUUCUUUAGCUCGCCUUUUGUGCUUCCUGAUUGUGUUUCGUUCUGUUGGAACGUGUUUGGUUGUUUUGCUUUUUCUUCUCUAUCACCCUUUCUUUCUGUUGUUGUGGGAUUCAUUGUUUGUGGUUCUUUUGUGGGUUGGGUAUUCAGUUCGUACCAGUUAUUGGUUAUGGUUUAUGUGGUUUCAAUGUAGGGAGAUCAUCAAUAACAUAGAUAUUGCAAUUCCUAUAUCGUUAUUGCUGUUAUGAUUUUGUUGGACCAUAUGUGCAAUGUUGUCGUUAUUCUUUUUGUUCCUGUAGAGAGACGAUUCUCCUGGCAAUGAAAGGGGAUUUUGCCUAGGGUCUCUGUAGAUUGACAAAGAACUCAAGAAAGAGGCAUCAUUCGUUUGAUUCUUGGUGAUUGUUGUUGGCCAUAGUUCGUUGUUGGGCCACUGAACACUGAGUUUGUCGUCCACAAUUGUCACUACAACUGAGGUUUGUCUUUGCAAUCCUUAACAGGCACUUUUCCGUCCACGAUUUGCUCUCCAACUAAGAUGCUAUUGACCUGUAUUCUACCUCAGUUGUGGAUCUAAAGACAGUCUGCUGUUUCUUUGAUCUCCAAGGCAUAGGAGAAUUGCCAAGCAUGACAGUAUAGCUUGUUGUGGAUCUUCUGCUAUCUGGACAAGUAGCCCAAUCAGCAUCGCAGAAAGAUAUGAUAUCAGUGGAAGUUCCUGCAGGAAAAAAUAGAGCUUGUCCAGUUGUCCCCUUGAGCUUAUGUCUGGUCUGGUGAGGGUAAGGUACAUCAGCUUCCCAAUCAACCUUCUGUAUAGCAUGGGGUCUUCAAGUGUUUGGCCAUGAUGUAAAGACAGUUUUUCAUUUGUAUCCAUAGGAGAGUUUGCAGCUUUACAAUCCUUGAAAUUGGCAUCAAGAAGCAAAUCCAAAAUAUACUUUCUUUGACAUAUUGUCAUACCUGCCUUUUUAUUGUGUAUUUCCAAACCGAGGAAAUAUUUUAGAUCUCCUAGGUCUUUAAUUUUCAAAAAAGUGCCAAUGUAAUGUUUCACUUCUGUUAUUAAUUCUGAGUCAUUUCCUCCAAUGGCCAUAU
Molecule: long non-coding RNA, 1794 nt
Organism: Tripterygium wilfordii
Lineage: Eukaryota; Viridiplantae; Streptophyta; Magnoliopsida; Celastrales; Celastraceae
Exons: 5
Source: RefSeq, a predicted model, not a curated record